Molecule: ribosomal RNA, 274 nt
Filed under: uncultured bacterium
Lineage: Bacteria
Description: partial 16S ribosomal RNA
Rfam family: Bacterial small subunit ribosomal RNA
Source: RNAcentral
CUACGGAGGGUGCAAGCGUUAAUCGGAAUUACUGGGCGUAAAGCGUACGUAGGCGGUUAUUUAAGUCAGAUGUGAAAGCCCCGGGCUUAACUUGGGAACUGCAUUUGAAACUGGGUAACUAGAGUUUAGUAGAGGGGAGUGGAAUUUCAGGUGUAGCGGUGAAAUGCGUAGAGAUCUGAAGGAACACCAGUGGCGAAGGCGACUCCCUGGACUAGAACUGACGCUGAGGUACGAAAGCGUGGGUAGCAAACGGGAUUAGAAACCCGGGUAGUCC